RNAcentral lists this transfer RNA (69 nucleotides) under Odocoileus virginianus texanus. It matches the Rfam family "tRNA". Rfam says of the family: Transfer RNA (tRNA) molecules are approximately 80 nucleotides in length. Lineage: Eukaryota; Metazoa; Chordata; Mammalia; Artiodactyla; Cervidae. RNAcentral also lists the same sequence under 2 other names. The record is from Rfam by way of RNAcentral.
CCUGGUAGCUCAGAUGGUAAAGCAUCUGCCUACAAUGCAGGAGACCCGGGUUCAAUCCCUGGGUCAGGA